CUCAAGGAGAUUUUGUAAAGCACACACAUGGAGCACAGCUAACAGCUGAUGAAGACACCAUGUUGCAGGGUUUGUUCCUUCCCUAUGACUGGUGGGCUGAAAAGAUAUUCUCCCUUCAUUUGAUACUCAUAUUUGAACUUGCUAAUUCUAAACUGCCUCCUCUCAUCUUCGAGGCUACAUCAAGGCUUCCUGCUGCCAGGCUGGGGCGAGACAUCUCGGCUCAGACGUCCUGGAGGCAGAAUGAAGGCACCCAUGAGUGAUUGAAGCCAAACUCACAUCUGAUGAACUCAAGAUAUUCUGAGGAAUGUGUGUGCAGUGAACAGCAACAGAACAUGAGGAUGGCAUGCUGAGAGACAAAUCAUUGUUUUUUCUAUUAAAAUAUGUACAAAUACAG
Molecule: long non-coding RNA, 394 nt
Organism: Passer montanus (Eurasian tree sparrow)
Lineage: Eukaryota; Metazoa; Chordata; Aves; Passeriformes; Passeridae
Exons: 4
Source: RefSeq, a predicted model, not a curated record